GAUGAACGCUAGCGAUAGGCUUAACACAUGCAAGUCGAGGGGCAGCAUGGUCUUAGCUUGCUAAGACUGAUGGCGACCGGCGCACGGGUGCGUAACGCGUAUGCAACUUGCCUCACAGAGGGGGAUAACCCGUCGAAAGACGGACUAAUACCGCGUACACUUGGGAUAGGGCAUCCUGACCCAAGGAAAUGAAAUUCGCUGUGAGAUAGGCAUGCGUCCCAUUAGCUAGUUGGUGAGGUAACGGCUCACCAAGGCGACGAUGGGUAGGGGAACUGAGAGGUUGAACCCCCACACUGGUACUGAGACACGGACCAGACUCCUACGGGAGGCAGCAGUGAGGAAUAUUGGUCAAUGGGCGAGAGCCUGAACCAGCCAAGUCGCGUGAAGGAUGACUGUCUUAUGGAUUGUAAACUUCUUUUAGACGGGAAUAACAAGAGCCACGUGUGGCUCCCUGCAUGUACCGGAUGAAUAAGCAUCGGCUAACUCCGUG
Molecule: ribosomal RNA, 490 nt
Filed under: uncultured bacterium
Lineage: Bacteria
Description: partial 16S ribosomal RNA
Rfam family: Bacterial small subunit ribosomal RNA
Source: RNAcentral